CCGUCGUCCAGUUCGGCGGAGACGGCCGUGCCCGGGGUGUGGUCCAGCGCGGCGGCGAUGGCCUCCGCGGCGGUCACCUUGCCGGCGGCGGG
RNAcentral lists this transfer RNA (92 nucleotides) under Streptomyces althioticus. RNAcentral describes it as "tRNA-Pro". The record is from RNAcentral. Lineage: Bacteria; Bacillati; Actinomycetota; Actinomycetes; Kitasatosporales; Streptomycetaceae.